This is a long non-coding RNA of Peromyscus leucopus (white-footed mouse), 742 nucleotides long. RefSeq lists it as uncharacterized. The record is from RefSeq and is a predicted model, not a curated record. NCBI's taxonomy places the organism in Eukaryota, Metazoa, Chordata, Mammalia, Rodentia, Cricetidae. The transcript is spliced from 2 exons.
CCGGCCAAUGGGCGAUCCGCGCGCGCGGACCCGGAUCAGGAAACGCGCGGGGGGCGUGAUGGAUGCCGCUAUCCACCCGGGCGGGAGGAGCGAGCAGGGGCUUGGGUUCCUCGGCCCCCCAACUUGGAUUCCGGCUGAGAAAUCGGUGCCUGUUAGGCUAUGGGUCCUUUCGAGCCCUCUUCCUGCCCAAGUCUGUCCUAGGCCUUGGGGCAGCUGGUCUCCAGGGCUCAGCGCUGACUUCCUGUCCAUCCAGGCCUCGGAGGCAGAAUUUGUACAGCAUUUCAUUUACGAUUUGGAACUUCCCAUAUUGCAGUUGAUGGAGGGGCAGACAAGAGCUAAACAUGCCUCCUUUACCAGGCGCUGUUGUGAGACCUCCACCCUAGAAUGGGGAUGCACAAAACCCGGCUUGAAUCCAGUAACUUCGCAUUACAGAACAAACUCCAAACAAAAACAAGCUUGAGAUAGAAUAAGACCCUUGCGGGGUCUGAUCGUCCAUCGGCCUUUUCUAACCUUUUUUUCCCUCCUCCUCCUUUUGGAUGCUGUUUUCUCAGGCUGUAUCAGCGGCGAGGGCUAAAUUUACAGGACAGCCUGUAAUCCCUGAAUUGCUGAAAAUUAGCAUAUUAACGAUAUCAGUAGCUCCGGAAAGGAGAGAGAGGGGACUGUUGUCUGCCAUUUGGUAAUUGAAAUUUGAUGGGUAAACUAAUUAUGCCAUUAUUAACAAAUAAAUUACUUAUUAAUUCCA